CCGCACGGGUGAGUAACACGUAUCCAACCUGCCGUCUACUCUUGGACAGCCUUCUGAAAGGAAGAUUAAUACAAGAUGGCAUCAUGAGUCCGCAUGUUCACAUGAUUAAAGGUUAUUCCGGUAGACGAUGGGGAUGCGUUCCAUUAGAUAGUAGGCGGGGUAACGGCCCACCUAGUCUUCGAUGGAUAGGGGUUCUGAGAGGAAGGUCCCCCACAUUGGAACUGAGACACGGUCCAA
This 237-nucleotide ribosomal RNA is filed under the name uncultured bacterium. RNAcentral's name for it is "partial 16S ribosomal RNA". It matches the Rfam family "Bacterial small subunit ribosomal RNA", at positions 98 to 334 of the family's 1533-position model. The record is from RNAcentral.